This 253-nucleotide ribosomal RNA is filed under the name uncultured bacterium. RNAcentral describes it as "partial 16S ribosomal RNA". It matches the Rfam family "Bacterial small subunit ribosomal RNA", at positions 524 to 776 of the family's 1533-position model. The record is from RNAcentral.
UACGAGGGGUGCAAGCGUUGCUCGGAAUUAUUGGGCGUAAAGGGUAGGUAGGUGGUCUCAUUUGUCUGGGGUGAAAGCCUCGAGCUUAACUCGAGAAGUGCCUCGGAAACGGUGAGACUAGAGUCUUGGAGAGGGUCGUGGAAUUCCCGGUGUAGCGGUGAAAUGCGUAGAUAUGACAUAGAACACCAAUUGCGAAGGCAGCUCGCUACGCGGUUAUUGACACUGAGGCACGAAAGCGUGGGGAUCAAACAGG